GAUGAACGCUGGCGGCGUGCCUAAUACAUGCAAGUCGAGCGAACGGACGAGAAGCUUGCUUCUCUGAUGUUAGCGGCGGACGGGUGAGUAACACGUGGAUAACCUACCUAUAAGACUGGGAUAACUUCGGGAAACCGGAGCUAAUACCGGAUGAUAUUUUGAACCGCAUGGUUCAAAAGUGAAAGACGGUCUUGCUGUCACUUAUAGAUGGAUCCGCGCUGCAUUAGCUAGUUGGUAAGGUAACGGCUUACCAAGGCAACGAUGCAUAGCCGACCUGAGAGGGUGAUCGGCAAAACGGGAACUGAGACACGGUCCAGACUCCUACGGGAGGCAGCAGUAGGGAAUCUUCCGCAAUGGGCGAAAGCCUGACGGAGCAACGCCGCGUGAGUGAUGAAGGUCUUCGGAUCGUAAAACUCUGUUAUUAGGGAAGAACAUAUGUGUAAGUAACUGUGCACAUCUUGACGGUACCUAAUCAGAAAGCCACGGCUAACUACGUG
RNAcentral lists this ribosomal RNA (497 nucleotides) under uncultured bacterium. Its description in RNAcentral is "partial 16S ribosomal RNA". It matches the Rfam family "Bacterial small subunit ribosomal RNA", at positions 28 to 507 of the family's 1533-position model. The record is from RNAcentral.